RNAcentral lists this ribosomal RNA (1809 nucleotides) under Triticum aestivum (bread wheat). RNAcentral's name for it is "partial small subunit ribosomal RNA". Lineage: Eukaryota; Viridiplantae; Streptophyta; Magnoliopsida; Poales; Poaceae. The record is from RNAcentral.
AUGAACGGCGGCGAGACCUCACACGGCGCCCUCAGGACCUUGGACGCUGCUGCGGCCGAUCCUGUCAUCGGCCGCGACGACGAGAUCGACCGCGUCAUCUGCAUCCUCAUCCGGCGGACCAAGAACUGCGCCGCGCUCGUCGGCCCUGCGGGGGUCGGCAAGACGGCCAUCAUAGAAGGCCUCGCGCAGCGCAUCGCCGCCGGGAACGUCCCCGACACACUUGCCGGCGCACGGAUCGUGGAGGUCGACAUGGGUGCCAUGGUCGCCGGGACGAACUGGAGUGGCAUGUUCGAGCAACGCCUCAAGGACGCCAUCAAGCAGGCGGAGGAAUCGGACGGCAAGGUCAUCCUGUUCAUCGAUGCGAUGCAUAUGAUUGUUGGCGCCGGCGCCGGCGAACGACACCCCACCGUUGACGCUGCCAAUAUGCUCAAGCCGGCGAUGGCUCGUGGUCGUGUCCGUUGUGUGGGCGCUACCACUAACGAAGAGUAUAAGCCCAUCCAGAAGGAUGCCGCACUCGAGCGGCGGUUUCAGAAGGUUGUCGUCGAAGAGCCAAGCCUACAAGCCACCAUUGCCAUCCUGCAGGGGCUGAAGCAACGAUAUCAAGAGCAUCAUGGCGUGAAAAUCCAGGACGAUGCUCUUGUUGCCGCUGCACAGCUUGCUGCCCGCUAUAUUACAGGUCGUCAGUUUCCUGAUAAAGCAAUUGAUCUUAUCGACGAGGCAUGCGCUACAAGAAAGAUGCAUGUCGACAAACAAAAGAAUGCGAAAAAUAAACAAAAUAACACCAUAAUAAAUACAUCAGAGGAUAUGAUUGUGGGCCCAGGCCAUGUCGCACAGGUUGUGAGCCGGUGGACUAAAAUUUCCCUCGCCACACUUCAUCAAGGGGAGAAGGAGAAGUUGAUCAACUUAGCGAAAAAAUUGCAUGAGCGAGUUGUUGGGCAGGAUGAAGCGGUCAAUUCGGUUGCAAAAGCAGUGUUGCGUUCAAGGGUCGGCUUUGGUCAAUCUGAACAACUUAUAAACUCAUUCCUUUUUUUGGGAUUCCUUGGUGUUGGUAAAACAGAACUUGCUAAAGCUCUCGCUGUGAAGAUAUUUGACACUCAAAAGGCGUUGAUUCGCUUUGAUAUGUCUGAAUAUGCUGAGAGUGGAUCUGUGUCACGUCUAAUCGGUGGACCUCGAAGGUUUAUUUCCUAUGAAGAAGAUGGACAACUCACCGAGAAAGUGAAGAGCUGUCCAUACAGUGUUGUCCUAUUUGACCAAGUGCAUAAAGCAGAACCCUCAGUAUUUAAACUUUUUAUUCAAAUCCUUGAUGAUGGUAUGUUGACCGAUGGAAAAGGACGGCUUGUCAACUUCAAGAAUACUAUCAUCAUUAUGACUACGAAUUUGGGAGCAAACCACCUAACAUCAAGAAUCACCGGAGAGAGCACCAUGAGAGCUGGAAGAGAUCUUCUAACGAAAGAGAUUGAGAAAUGCUUCAAGCCUGAACUAAUGAAUAGACUGAGUGAGAUUGUGACAUUUGAGCCACUUUCACAUGACGAACUAAGGGAGGUUGUGAAAAUCCAGAUGAAGAAUGUCACCGCCAUGGUAGCUAACAAGGGUGUCUCUCUAAUUACAACUGAUGCCGCUCUGGAUGUCAUUUGGUCAGAAGCACAUGAUCCAGUGUACGGUGCAAGGCCUAUAAAAAGGUGGGUGCAAAAGCAUGUGACGGCAAUUCUCUCAGACAUGAUGGUCAAUGGAGAAGCAUGUGAAGGCUCCACCAUCUCCAUCGACGCAACAGAGGAUAAGAUGGGGCUGAAGUACCAAGUACUAAACUGA